AAGGUUGUGAGUCCACUUAUGUUGAAAGGUUGUGUCUUUUGAAAAAUAAGUGUAAAGGGUUGUGUCUUUUCUAAAAGUUCUAUGUUGGAAGGUUGUGUCUUUUCCAAUUAAUUCUAAAGGUUGUGAGUCCACUUAUGUUGAAAGGUUGUGUCUUUUGAAAAAUAAGUGUAAAUAGUUGUGUCUUUUCUAAAAGUUCUAUGUUGGAAGGUUGUGUCUUUUCUAAUUAAUUUUUUAAGGUUGUGAAUCCACUUAUGUUGAAAGGUUGUGUCUUUUGAAAAAAUAGUGUAAAGGGUUGUGUCUUUUCUAAGUUCUAUGUUGUAAGGUUGUGUCUUUUCUAAUUAAUUCCUAAGGUUGUGAAUUUCAAUUAUGUUGAAAGGUUGUGUCUUUUGAAAAAUAUGUGUAGAGGGUUGUGUCUUUUCUAAAAGUUAUAUGUUGUAAGGUUGUGUCCUUCUAAAAAUAGUCUAAAAGUUGUGACUAUUCACUAGUAUCUUUUAAAAAGUGAGAAGUUGUGAGUAUUAGAAGAAUGUGACUACUCAUAUUGAAGGGUUGUGACUAUUCAAAUAAGCUUUAAAAAAUCUAUAAAUAGUCUCUCCCAUGCAUUUUUCAAAUCAAAUUUUCACUAAUCUACUAAUAAUAAAAUGGUGAAAAAAAUAAUGUCAAAGUUGCAACUUUUCAUCUAAACAAGGUGUCUUUUCAUCUCAAAGUGGGAUUACUUUAAAAAAUAUUGGUUUUAUUUAAGUAAUGUGUUAGUUUAUAUAAUAAGUAUUGGUAUUUUAUAAUAACUCUCCCAAAAAUUAAAAAAAAAAGUGAUUGGUUGUUUAUCUUUUUCCGACAAAUGGCUUAAACUACAAAUUAAUUUUUGUUAACAAAGUUAUUUCCUUUAUGAAAAAGUAACGGCACAAGUAAUAAACUAGCUAUUAUUUUGUUUGAUGGUUAGCAAAACUGUAAGUCCAAUCUAGUGUGAGCAAAAUUUAGUGUGUAGACAGUAUACUUACUGACUGUAAUAUUUGGGGUGUGAUUGGUACUUACUACUUAUAGCUGCACCUAGAGUAACAAAAAGUAAAAGAAAUGAGAGUAAAAAGUUGUAAAGUAAGAAAAGGGAAACCAGCUCAACAAUUUUCCUCUACGGUUCUACCCAAACUGUAAGGAGCAAAAUAAAUGAUUUUAUCUUUGAAUGUACAGUAAUUAGAGUAAAAUAAGUAAAAUGCUUUUUUACUUUAAUGAUACAGUUUUAGUGGAAAUGAAAGCAAUCAUAUUUUCAACUGAAUAAUUCUCGCUAAAAGUACCAAACAUUAAUCACACUCUUAAAUAGUCACGAAGAAUAUGCAAAUUAAAAAAAAAAGUGGUAAAUGUAAAAAUCUUCAACAUUUUAGUCAAAAGUCAAAGAAAGAUGUAUGGUCUCCUCUCCUUUCCCCCCAAAUAAGGAUGACUCACUCUCGGUCAAUUCAGACGAGCAGAGAAAUUUACAAGUUGGUUUUCUUUCAGUGACCAUAAAUAUACGAAGUUACAGACUUAUGGUAUUUGAUUCUAUAACGUGAAAGAAGUAUAGAAAAAUUAUACAAAUUGAUUAGAUAACGUGUCACAAAUGUAUUUUGUUAUUUAUUUUCAAAGUGAAAUAAACUUCAUCAUACAAUCCCACAGAAUUGUUCAUAACUAACAAUGUUUUCUCAAAAUAUCUAACAAAAUAUCUCCAAAAUAUCUCCAAAAUAUCAACAUAAAACAUAAAUUAGGAAGUUGACAAAAAACAUAAAUUAGUUGCAAUUAAUUUGUUAGGUUCUUUCAGCAUUAUAGCAGUUCAAGCUUUUCCUUUUAUGGAUUGACGAACUUAUUAUUGACGGGUUUAUAGAAAUUUUUUGGUAUCGCAAGAUUGCAAGUUGAUGAGGAUAAAUUAAUGCAACAAGCAUUUAUUGAUUUAACAAAAUUUCUCAAAUAUCUGAAAAUACUCCAUAUGGAACAAACAUAAAGUUGACGGUACACACAUGACACAACGUCCCAUUCACCAUCAUAGUAAUUCGACGAUACUUAUAGAUUCGUGAGAUAGUUAUAUUCGCAGUUUUUUUUUUAAAUGGUGACUUCUGUGGGCAAUAUCUAAGUUAAAACAUACAGACUAAUUAGUUUGUAUUUGUGGAUUAUAAGUUCCACGUCCCUUCAUUCAUUUUUGUAUUUUUAUCUUGUACUUGUGUUUAGCCUAGAUGCAGACGAUAAAUAUGUGGGAAUAAAACUAAAGUGAUAAAUGGGAAAAGGUGGAGAAAGAGGAAGAAUAUUUGAAACGAAACGAUAAACGUACCACCCAACUUAUAGACACUAGAAACGCAUGACAAGCUCCAAUGUUAUCCAACCUUUCAGUUUCACUUAAUGGAAUCUUAUGCCUUAUCUCUUUUCUUUCAUUUUCUCCAAACUAUAACACUUUUCAUCAUUCAACUUCGCUUUUUAAUGUUCUUUUUCUUCUACAAAUAGCUCAAUGUUAUCCGACUUUUUUCUGUAUUUUCUUGUCUAAGACAGAACUUAUUUUCAACUUUCUUUGAUAAAUAUUCUCAAAGAAAUAUUUUAUAGUUUAAAGUACUAAAAAGUAUUUGAGAACUUGCGUAAAAUAUCUUAAGUUAGUUACCAGUUUUUAAAAUAUGCUUAAUUAAAAAGACCUUAACAUUUGGAUUUAGGUUUUAGCGAUUAUUUUUUAAUGUUUAGUAUUUAAGGGGUGGGUUUGAGAAACUUUUAUAAAUUUUUUAUAAAUUAUUCUUAACCUUUUUAUAAAUGAUCUAGGAAAAUUAAUUUAAUAUUUUUAUCACAAAUUUAAAGUAUGUAUAAAAAUAAUUAUCAUUUAAUGGUAAAUUUGAAAAGUGAUAUCAAAUUGAGAGUAAAAUUAAAACACCCCCCACCCCCCUCUCUCCAAAAAAAAAACAAAAAAAAUAUUUCUAAGUUUGAUUUUUCACUUUCUUUGAUGGUCAUUUAGUUUUUAGCGUAUAAUGUGUCUAGCGUAAAGUGGAGGUUUGCUUUCACGAAUAUUUUCUUCUUAGAUGAAGAUGAUUUCACGAAUAUAUACAUCCAAUCAACUAAUAAACUAAGAAGAAUAAAAUAAAGUUCAGAUAAAGGGGAUGGUCCGAGGUUUAAAGUACAUUGGAAAAUAAAUUAUAUAUAAUGUACUUCCUCCUAACUAUCUUUUGUUAUAGUCAAUAAAGUGAUAUAUAGUUCAAAGAUUUACUUCAUCUCUCAAAUGCCUUAAUUUUUCCUAGCCUUUUUCCUACUUAUUUUCAGUGUUCACAUUAUACAUGUCCCUUUUAAUUUACUAUUCCAUCUUAACUUUUUACCAGCCUCGUCAUGGCAAAUCUCUUGUAAUGUAUUGGAGAAUACACACAAGCUUCAUUAAAGAAAGCACAUUAAAUUUAGAUCUUUUAAGCUGAACAAAUUAGACACUCUAACCUCGACGCAGUAGGACUGCUUUUACUGAGAGAUUAUAAUAUCACGUUUGGCAUGUUGUCGGAAGCUUGCAUCCUAAACAAGAGGUUUCAGAGACUUUAUUUUAACGUCACCGAGUGGAGUUAAUUUCAUUUCAGAGACUUGUGAACAAUCAGAGUUUUCUGGUAUAGUUAGUUAAGCGUUACAGUUAAGCUAUGUGUACAUUAACCAUCUCUAGAAACACAUCUUUAUAUUUAUUAUAAGACGAACAAUAAUAUUUUAAUUAGUUUGGACAAAUCAUUUACUGAAUUUGUGAAUGUAAAGUCAUCAUCUGCGAAUCAUAUCUUAAGGAAUUUAUUCGUAGCUAGUUUACCAUUAAUUAGAGCUACAGCUUUGAAGAAUAUCCGUACUCAACUCAAACUGCAGUAUUAAGAAGUAAGCAAAUCAAUGUCUGUGAACUAUUAUGCUAAAGAUCAAAUCUCGUUCUUGUCCAUGUCUAGCAGAAUGAGGGAUCAAUAGUUAGCUCUAUGACCAAGGCUUGAUGGGAGUAUUUUUUAGUCACUCUUGCCUUGCUGAGAUCCAGUCUCCUGUAAGUAAUGCUCCGCAUCCAAAGCUGCCAUGCAUCCUACACAACCAAUCAAAUAACUUGUGAUGAAAAUUAAUUUUCUACAUAUAGCUAAACAAAGAGAGAAUGUAAUUUUUUUUUUUUGAACAAAGAAUGUAAUUAGAAUUCUUUACUAACUACUAAGCAAUGCAACACAACACACUCAGAUAAGACUAAAAAAAAAAAUAUUAUAAAUGACACGGGUCAUAUUAACGUAAAUCAACAUAUAUUUAUUACAAUAUUAAAUUUUCUGAAUAUUCAUUUUCAAUAAAUAAAGCAGGUAGAUAAAUAUACAAAAUAACAAUUACCAACAUAUAAAUUAUAAUUGUUUAAAAUUAUAAACUAAUAAUUUUAAUAUUAUGUUUUAAAUAGGAAAAGAAAUUAUAUAUCAUGCAAAAAAAAAUUGCAUUUUGUUCAAAAAGUGGUUGAAGAUAACUAUCAUGUGAAAAAAUAUAUGAAAAAACUUAAAAAGGAUGAAGACACAAUUGUAUACAAGCAAUCCCAAUUAAUUCCAAAGGUUGUGAGUCCACUUAUGUUAAAAUGUUGUGUCUUUUGAAAAAGAAGUGUAAAGGGUUGUGUCUUUUCUAAAAGUUCUAUGUUGGAAGGUUGUGUCUUUUCCAAUUAAUUCUAAAGGUUGUGAGUCCACUUAUGUUGAAAGGUUGUGUCUUUUGAAAAAGAAGUGUAAAGGGUUGUGUCUUUUCUAAAAGUUCUAUGUUGGAAGGUUGUGUCUUUUCCAAUUAAUUUUUAAGGUUGUGAAUCCACUUAUGUUGAAAGGUUGUGUCUUUUGAAAAAGU
Molecule: long non-coding RNA, 4791 nt
Filed under: Brassica napus (rape)
Lineage: Eukaryota; Viridiplantae; Streptophyta; Magnoliopsida; Brassicales; Brassicaceae
Description: long non-coding RNA (BNAP_LNC007009)
Source: RNAcentral